This 493-nucleotide ribosomal RNA is filed under the name uncultured bacterium. RNAcentral's name for it is "partial 16S ribosomal RNA". It matches the Rfam family "Bacterial small subunit ribosomal RNA", at positions 29 to 508 of the family's 1533-position model. The record is from RNAcentral.
AGUGAACGCUGGCGGUAGGCCUAACACAUGCAAGUCGAACGGCAGCACAGUAAGAGCUUGCUCUUACGGGUGGCGAGUGGCGGACGGGUGAGGAAUACAUCGGAAUCUACUUUUUCGUGGGGGAUAACGUAGGGAAACUUACGCUAAUACCGCAUACGACCUACGGGUGAAAGCAGGGGAUCUUCGGACCUUGCGCGAUUGAAUGAGCCGAUGUCGGAUUAGCUAGUUGGCGGGGUAAAGGCCCACCAAGGCGACGAUCCGUAGCUGGUCUGAGAGGAUGGUCAGCCGCACUGGGACGGAGACACGGUCCAGACGCCUACGGGAGGCAGCAGUGGGGAAUAUUGGACAAUGGGCGGAAGACUGAGCCAGCCAUACCGCGUGGGUGAAGAAGGCCUUCGGGUUGUAAAGCCCGUUUGUUGGGAAAGAAAAGCAGCAGGUUAAUACCCCGCUGUUCUGAAGGGAACCAAAGAAUAAGCACCGGCUAACUUCGUGC